Molecule: long non-coding RNA, 202 nt
Filed under: Populus trichocarpa (black cottonwood)
Lineage: Eukaryota; Viridiplantae; Streptophyta; Magnoliopsida; Malpighiales; Salicaceae
Description: long non-coding RNA (PTRI_LNC002204)
Source: RNAcentral
GGAAACUUUUCUCUUAUUUCUUCUGGACAGAUCCUUGUAAAUAAAGUUCCUGAUGUGGAUGGGUGUUCGUGCCCAGGAUUGUAAAAUGGCCUCUUGGAUUGAAGACAUCCCGUGGAUGAAAAGGGUCUUCAUGAUUAGUUUCAAGUAACGAGUAAUUUGUUUUGAUGCUCAAACCAUCCACGUUUUGAACCUUUCCCUGCAG